Molecule: ribosomal RNA, 432 nt
Filed under: uncultured bacterium
Lineage: Bacteria
Description: partial 16S ribosomal RNA
Rfam family: Bacterial small subunit ribosomal RNA
Source: RNAcentral
AACGAACGCUGGCGGCAUGCCUAACACAUGCAAGUCGAACGAGGCCUUCGGGUCUAGUGGCGCACGGGUGCGUAACGCGUGGGAACCUGCCCUUAGGUUCGGAAUAACUCCCCGAAAGGGGUGCUAAUACCGGAUAAUGUCUUCGGACCAAAGAUUUAUCGCCUUUUGAUGGGCCCGCGUUGGAUUAGCUAGUUGGUAGGGUAAAAGCCUACCAAGGCGACGAUCCAUAGCUGGUCUGAGAGGAUGAUCAGCCACACUGGGACUGAGACACGGCCCAGACUCCUACGGGAGGAAGCAGUGGGGAAUAUUGGACAAUGGGCGAAAGCCUGAUCCAGCAAUGCCGCGUGAGUGAUGAAGGCCUUAGGGUUGUAAAGCUCUUUUACCCGGGAUGAUAAUGACAGUACCGGGAGAAUAAGCACCGGCUAACUCCGU